RNAcentral lists this ribosomal RNA (398 nucleotides) under uncultured bacterium. Its description in RNAcentral is "bacterial SSU rRNA". It matches the Rfam family "Bacterial small subunit ribosomal RNA", at positions 356 to 773 of the family's 1533-position model. The record is from RNAcentral.
GGGGAAUAUUGUGCAAUGGGGGAAACCCUGACACAGCGACGCCGCGUGAGCGAAGAAGGCCUUCGGGUCGUAAAGCUCAAUAGUAUGGGAAGAUAAUGACGGUACCAUACGAAAGCCCCGGCUAACUACGUGCCAGCAGCCGCGGUAAUACGUAGGGGGCGAGCGUUGUCCGGAAUUACUGGGCGUAAAGAGCACGUAGGCGGCUGUAAAAGUCAGAUGUGAAAAACCUGGGCUCAACCGAGGGUGUGCAUCUGAAACUAUAUAGCUUGAGUCAAGGAGAGGAGAGCGGAAUUCCUGGUGUAGCGGUGAAAUGCGUAGAGAUCAGGAAGAAUACCAGUGGCGAAAGCGGCUCUCUGGACUUGAACUGACGCUGAGGUGCGAAAGCGUGGGGAGCAAAC